AACACAUGCAAGUCGAACGGUAACAGGAAGAAGCUUGCUUCUUUGCUGACUACCGCCGGACGGGUGAGUAAUGUCUGGGAAACUGCCUGAUGGAGGGGGAUAACUACUGGAAACGGUAGCUAAUACCGCAUAACGUCGCAAGACCAAAGAGGGGGACCUUCGGGCCUCUUGCCAUCGGAUGUGCCCAGAUGGGAUUAGCUAGUAAGUGGGGUAACGGCUCACCUAUGCGACGAUCCCUAGCUGGUCUGAUAGGAUGACCAGCCACACUGGAACUGAGACACGGUCCAGACUCCUACGGGAGGCAGCAGUGGG
Molecule: ribosomal RNA, 312 nt
Filed under: uncultured Enterobacteriaceae bacterium
Lineage: Bacteria; Pseudomonadati; Pseudomonadota; Gammaproteobacteria; Enterobacterales; Enterobacteriaceae
Description: bacterial SSU rRNA
Rfam family: Bacterial small subunit ribosomal RNA
Source: RNAcentral